RNAcentral lists this ribosomal RNA (487 nucleotides) under Geocrypta galii. RNAcentral's name for it is "partial large subunit ribosomal RNA". The stretch from base 317 to 476 matches the Rfam family "Bacterial large subunit ribosomal RNA", at positions 2473 to 2632 of the family's 2925-position model. The record is from RNAcentral. Lineage: Eukaryota; Metazoa; Arthropoda; Insecta; Diptera; Cecidomyiidae.
GACUGUGCUAAGGUAGCAAAAUCAUUAGAUUUUUAAUUGAGAUCUUGUUUGAAUGGUUAUAUGAAAUAAAUUCUUUAUUAUUUUAAAUAUUUAAUUUUAUAUUUUAGUUAAAAAGCUAAAAUAAAGUUAAGGGACGAGAAGACCCUAUAGAAUUUUAUAAAAAUUAAAUUAAUUAAUUAGAUUAUUAAUUAUAUUAAUUAUUUAAUUUAUAUUUUAUUGGGGUGAUAAUUAAAUUUAUUAAACUUUUAUAUAUUUAAUCAAUUAUAUUUGUUUUUGUGAUCUUUUUUUAUUGAUUAAAAAAUUAAAUUACCUUAGGGAUAACAGCAUAAUUUUAUUAAGAAGUUCUUAUUUUUAAUAAUGUUUAUGACCUCGAUGUUGAAUUAAAUAAAAUUUUUUUAUGAAGAUAUAAAAAAAAUAAGUCUGUUCGACUUUUAAUUAUUUACAUGAUUUGAGUUCAAACCGGUGUGAGCCAGGUCGGUUUCUAUCU